UUCAAAGCAGGAGAUGGCAUACCUCCUAAUAACCGCCUGGGUUCCCGGCUGAUGAUGCCUACGCGAAC
RNAcentral lists this non-coding RNA (68 nucleotides) under Hydrogenophilaceae bacterium. RNAcentral's name for it is "Fluoride sequence". It matches the Rfam family "Fluoride riboswitch aptamer (crcB RNA motif)". Lineage: Bacteria; Pseudomonadati; Pseudomonadota; Hydrogenophilia; Hydrogenophilales; Hydrogenophilaceae. The record is from RNAcentral.